GUCCCUGGGGCACAAUGCAUAGCGCGUUGGACUUCUAAUCCAAAGAUUGUGGGUUCAAAUCCCAGCUGGGAUG
This is a non-coding RNA of Trichonephila clavipes, 73 nucleotides long. Lineage: Eukaryota; Metazoa; Arthropoda; Arachnida; Araneae; Nephilidae. The record is from the annotation of a GenBank genome assembly.